This 89-nucleotide non-coding RNA is filed under the name Roseivivax lentus. Its description in RNAcentral is "Glycine sequence". It matches the Rfam family "Glycine riboswitch aptamer". From Rfam's summary of the family: This family represents the bacterial glycine riboswitch. Glycine riboswitches usually consist of two metabolite-binding aptamers domains with similar structures in tandem. The record is from RNAcentral. Lineage: Bacteria; Pseudomonadati; Pseudomonadota; Alphaproteobacteria; Rhodobacterales; Roseobacteraceae.
CGCGCAGCGAUGGGAGAACCGGCGGAAUCGCCGGUGCCGAAGGAGCAACCGCCCCGGAAACUCUCAGGCCUCAGGACCGUCGCGGCCAG